RNAcentral lists this ribosomal RNA (124 nucleotides) under uncultured bacterium. Its description in RNAcentral is "partial 16S ribosomal RNA". The record is from RNAcentral.
CCGGGGUUUCUUUACCAGGUACUGUCAUUAUCAUCCCUGGCGAAAGAGCUUUACGAUCCUAAGACCUUCAUCACUCACGCGGCAUGGCUAGAUCAGGCUUUCGCCCAUUGUCUAAGAUUCCCCA